CCCACCCAAGGUCACACUAGUGACAGAGCUGGAAUUAAAUAAAGGGUCCCUCCCACUGUAUAGCAUUUCAUCUCACCCCCUCCACCAGUGCUCUUGUUAUCUUAUAAUUAGCCCUGAGGCAAAAACAAAAAAAGAAUCCGCACACCCAACUAUCAUUAGAUCUUUCUGCAAGCCUUGGCUGGCACCAUGAUGCGGCAAGCAUACAACAGUAACUGAACCAGGUGAGACCCAGACCCCACCCUGGUUUGCUGCCCAGAUCAGGAAGCAGAUACCUGUCACCAGGAAGAGUGCGACCAAGUGCUACAGACAGGGACCAAUGGAGAGCCCCAGGAAGGAUUUGUAGAGGAGAUUCUGCAUUUUGAGCAGAACACAAAAGCAGAUCAGGUGGAUUUUCCAAGGAGAGUUGGAGCAAGAUGACCACACAGAGGAACUGGUGUCUGCACAGAUGUGAGACCAAACACCUUGGUCCACAGGGAUAGGUGCUGUCCCCCUAGGGGUGGAGAGUGAAGAGGGCAGGGGAUCACACUGCUGAGAGGAUUAAAUGCUCUGCUGGACGCUGAAUGUUUCUCUUGCGAGUCAUUUUUGAGUAGAGUAACAAGGUCAAAGCCACCUUAGAACUUUGGUGCCCAUUUGAGACCCAGGUUCCUUGGCCACCGUAAAUUAACCCUUCAG
This 672-nucleotide long non-coding RNA is filed under the name Marmota monax (woodchuck). The record is from RNAcentral. Lineage: Eukaryota; Metazoa; Chordata; Mammalia; Rodentia; Sciuridae.